RNAcentral lists this long non-coding RNA (251 nucleotides) under Elaeis guineensis (African oil palm). Its description in RNAcentral is "long non-coding RNA (EGUI_LNC062326)". Lineage: Eukaryota; Viridiplantae; Streptophyta; Magnoliopsida; Arecales; Arecaceae. The record is from RNAcentral.
UCAUCACAUUAACACCAUUCAAAAUGAUAUCAAAAAUAUCUCCUUUUAUUGAAAUUUCAUAACCGUACAUGACCAAAAGGUCUACAGAAAUAAUAUUCAAUAAAAAUGAAGGACAAAAGUGGCAUUCAUUAAGAAUAAUUAUAUUAGACUUGAAUACAAGCUUAAUAAUCCCUAAUGCUAGAACUGAAAUUGAUCUUGCAUCUCCAACAUUAGGAAAUCUUUUUCCUUCUUCAAAUCUCCUAUUGACCUGC